AGUGGCUGUCUGGUCGGAUUAGAGGAGGAAGGGGGUUCCGGGCUAGAGGCAGGACGUGAAGCUGAGGAAUUUGUUUAGCACACAGUCAGCGCUCAAUAAAUACGAUUGAAUGAAUGAAUGAAUGGCCCUGUCCCAGCAGAGGGAAGCAACAGACAGCAGAGGACCGCACCGGACGGUGGAGAACAGCAGUGGACAGCAAGGGGAAGCAGAAGCCAGCAGAGGACCGCACUGACCUGUGCCCGGGCCACAAGGAUGGAGCCAGGUGGAAUUCCUUCUGCUUUCCCAAUCCUCUCCAUGGCCAGUGGCCAGAGGUGCCCGGAGCCGUACCGUCCCCGUCUGGUGGUGUCCCCUCCGACCGGCCGGGGUCUUCCCCGUCAAGGUGGUUCAGACCUUUUAUCCAUCUCAUGACCCGCUGGUGAGGAGGGCACUGAGCAUCUCCACGGCUUUGCCGUGGUUGCUUCGGGAAGAGAGGCUGGUGGAAGUAGAUCAAUCCUGGGUUGGGUGGGAGUGUACAGAGAAGCAGCAUGGUAUAGUGGAUAGAGCAGGGGCCUGGGAGUCACCAGGACCUGGGUUCAAAUUCUGGCUCUGCCACUUGUCUGCUGUGUGACCUUGUGCAAGUCACAUCACUUCUCUGUACCUCAGUUACCUCAUCUCUAAAACGGGGAUUGAGACUGUGAGCCCCACGCGGGACAGGGACUGUGUCCAACUCGAUUUGCUUAUAUCCAUCCCAGCCCUUAGUACGGGGCCUGGUACGUAGUAAGCGCUUAACAAAUACCAAAAUUAUUGGUUUUAGUGCCCACCAGCGGGCGAGGGACAGAGAGAGACACCUGCCCAUCCUGCGGGAUCGCUGCGUCUUUCUGAGCUCUUGCUAUCGGAAACCACCUCCGUGUCACCUUCGCCAUCCCACCCCGCGGGCAAGGCCUUGCGGCAGGCAGGUGCCCUGGGUGGCAGGGAGAGGCAGCUGGUACAGGAACAAACACCAUCUGUCUCUUUUGGUGUCACAGCUGGAAGCUGGGGGUGGGGAUGAUCCAUCAGAGGAUUUAAAGAGCCUGGCUUAGAGGUGGCGCCGCCAGCGCCCGGGGAUGCCCGGUGCUGGGCGCCCAGGAUGACACGGGACCCGGGAAUCCAGAUUCUCAUCUCACAUGCUGAGCUGUGAGACAGUACCCGAAGGUCAUUGUUAUUAGAAUGUGCGUGAGUGUAUUACAGUAAUAUUAACCUCACACUCCACAGACAAUCCCCGCCUCGAGGACCUACUGCCCCCGUCUCUAGCCCCAUUAUAUCCAGAGGGAGAAACUGAGGCUCAGAGGAGCAGUGUGGCCUAGUAGAACACGGAUCUGGGAAUCAGAGGACUUGAGUUCUAUUCCCCGCUCUGCCGCAUUCCUGCU
Molecule: long non-coding RNA, 1385 nt
Filed under: Ornithorhynchus anatinus (platypus)
Lineage: Eukaryota; Metazoa; Chordata; Mammalia; Monotremata; Ornithorhynchidae
Description: lncRNA (ENSOANG00000047949.1)
Source: RNAcentral